This 508-nucleotide ribosomal RNA is filed under the name uncultured bacterium. Its description in RNAcentral is "partial 16S ribosomal RNA". It matches the Rfam family "Bacterial small subunit ribosomal RNA", at positions 28 to 523 of the family's 1533-position model. The record is from RNAcentral.
GAUGAACGCUAGCUACAGGCUUAACACAUGCAAGUCGAGGGGAAACGACAUUGAAAGCUUGCUUUUGAUGGGCGUCGACCGGCGCACGGGUGAGUAACGCGUAUCCAACCUGCCCACCACUUGGGGAUAACCUUGCGAGAGUAAGACUAAUACCCAAUGAUAUCUCUAGAAGACAUCUGAAAGGGAUUAAAGAUUUAUCGGUGAUGGAUGGGGAUGCGUCUGGUUAGCUUGUUGGCGGGGUAACGGCCCACCAAGGCGACGAUCAGUAGGGGUUCUGAGAGGAAGGUCCCCCACAUUGGAACUGAGACACGGUCCAAACUCCUACGGGAGGCAGCAGUGAGGAAUAUUGGUCAAUGGACGAGAGUCUGAACCAGCCAAGUAGCGUGCAGGAUGACGGCCCUAUGGGUUGUAAACUGCUUUUAUAAGGGAAUAAAGUGAGUCUCGUGAGACUCUUUGCAUGUACCUUAUGAAUAAGGACCGGCUAAUUCCGUGCCAGCAGCCGCGGUAA